GAGCAAGUGCAUCAAAUUUUAUAAAUGAUGAAUCACUUGCAUUGAAGGUUGGCAACAGUACCCAUAUAGUGAUUCUCCGUGCCUUUCAAAUGCACUCAGUUUUGAUUACGGCCUCGAACAAAUCACUACAUU
Small nucleolar RNA from Coffea eugenioides, 132 nucleotides. The record is from RefSeq and is a predicted model, not a curated record. Lineage: Eukaryota; Viridiplantae; Streptophyta; Magnoliopsida; Gentianales; Rubiaceae.